GCCGACUGUAACCUGAGGCCCCGCGGGCGAGGAAAAGGUGCGGAUCCCGCCCUCGAGGCAGCCAGGUGGGAAGUAUUUCGGGGUGCUGCGCCCUGCGAGUCCGCGCCGGCCGCACGCGGCCCGCAUCCCGCCCCCGCCGUCAGCACAGCCCACGUGCAGGCAGAGGAGAGCAAUGUCUAGAGGUCACAGUCAGGAGGGCAGCUGGCUGGCCUUGGGGCUGGCUGCCAAGGAAAUCGGUGCCUCCUCCAAAGUAACUCUGGGUCAGCCCUGUUUAGAAGUCCUCGCAAACUCUGAGGCUCCACUUGAUCAUUACUGCUUCCGUGAAGCCU
Molecule: long non-coding RNA, 329 nt
Organism: Balaenoptera ricei (Rice's whale)
Lineage: Eukaryota; Metazoa; Chordata; Mammalia; Artiodactyla; Balaenopteridae
Exons: 3
Source: RefSeq, a predicted model, not a curated record